CCCUUAGAUGUCCUGGGCCGCACGCGCAAUACAAUGUAAAGUUCAGAAAGCAUAUCCUGUUCCGGAAGGCAAUGGGUAAUCUUUUCAAUAUUUUACGUGUUAGGGAUCGAUCUUUGCAAUUAUAGAUCUUGAACGAGGAAUACCUAGUAAGUGCAGCUCAUCAGGCUGUACUGAUUACGUCCCUGCCCUUUGUACACACCGCCCGUCGCUCCUACCGAUUUCGAGUGGUCCGGUGAAUCUUUUGGAAUUAGAGUGCAAACUCAAACUAAGAUCGAUAAACCUUAUCACUUAGAGGAAGGAGAAGUCGUAACA
This 312-nucleotide ribosomal RNA is filed under the name uncultured eukaryote. RNAcentral's name for it is "partial 18S ribosomal RNA". It matches the Rfam family "Eukaryotic small subunit ribosomal RNA", at positions 1470 to 1796 of the family's 1831-position model. The record is from RNAcentral.